RNAcentral lists this ribosomal RNA (602 nucleotides) under Nocardiopsis sp. SD7. Its description in RNAcentral is "bacterial SSU rRNA". It matches the Rfam family "Bacterial small subunit ribosomal RNA", at positions 108 to 701 of the family's 1533-position model. Lineage: Bacteria; Bacillati; Actinomycetota; Actinomycetes; Streptosporangiales; Nocardiopsidaceae. The record is from RNAcentral.
GACUGCACACUUGGGGCAAGGGGGCCCCUGAAAACGGGAUAAGCGGUGGAAACGCCGUCUAAUACCGGAUACGACCCUCCUCCGCAUGGUGGGGGGUGGAAAGUUUUUUCGGUCGGGGAUGGGCUCGCGGCCUAUCAGCUUGUUGGUGGGGUAACGGCCUACCAAGGCGAUUACGGGUAGCCGGCCUGAGAGGGCGACCGGCCACACUGGGACUGAGACACGGCCCAGACUCCUGCGGGAGGCAGCAGUGGGGAAUAUUGCGCAAUGGGCGAAAGCCUGACGCAUCGACGCCGCGUGGGGGAUGACGGCCUUCGGGUUGUAAACCUCUUUUACCACUCACGCAGGCCCCACGUUUUCGUGGGGUUGACGGUAGGUGGGGAAUAAGGACCGGCUAACUACGUGCCAGUCNCCGCGGUAAUACGUAGGGUCCGAGCGUUGUCCGGAAUUAUUGGGUGUAAAGAGCUCGUAAGCAUGCGUGUCGCGUCUGCUGUGAAAGACCGGGGCUUAACUCCGGUUUUGCAUUGGGAUACGGGCAUGCCAGAGGGGGGGUAUGGGAGACUUGAAUUCCCNGGUGGAAACCGUGGAAAGGGCCCCAUAUCUGG